UAAAGCGAGUGAAGCGGCAACAGCUCAAAUUUGAAAGCCCGCGGGCGUUGUAAUUUGCAGGCGGAUGUUUUGGGGCGGGCGCUGUCUACGUUCCUUGGAACAGGACGCCGCAGAGGGUGAGAGCCCCGUGCGAUGGCGCCUCCAACCGCGUAAAACUCCGCCGACGAGUCGAGUUGUUUGGGAAUGCAGCUCCAAGUGGGUGGUAAAUUCCAUCUAAAGCUAAAUACUGGCGAGAGACCGAUAGCGAACAAGUACAGUGAUGGAAAGAUGAAAAGCACUUUGAAAAGAGAGUGAAACAGCACGUGAAAUUGUUGAAAGGGAAGGGUAUGCGAUUAGCGGCCAGCAGGAGGUGCCUUCUCGUGAAAAGGCCGUGCACCGUCUUCGGACACCGUGCGCGGAGAUGGCGAGGGGGCGCCUGAGGUCUGCGACUCGAGGUUGCUGGCGUAAUGAUUGCAUACCACCCGUCUUGAAACACGGACCAGAA
This 484-nucleotide ribosomal RNA is filed under the name Diutina rugosa. RNAcentral's name for it is "partial large subunit ribosomal RNA". It matches the Rfam family "Eukaryotic large subunit ribosomal RNA", at positions 84 to 671 of the family's 3401-position model. Lineage: Eukaryota; Fungi; Ascomycota; Pichiomycetes; Serinales; Debaryomycetaceae. The record is from RNAcentral.